GUAGUCUGCCAUACGCAGGAAGACCCGCUGAACUGAAGCAUCUCAUUAAGCGGAGGAAAAGAAACUAACUAGGAUUCCCUUAGUAAAGGCGAUCGAAAAGGGAACAGCCCAACGUCUUAAUCCCGCAAGGGAAAUGUAGUCGGUUCACCUAUUGCACUGGUCUAAGUCAGAUGGAAUGCUGCGCGAUUCAGAGUAAAAGCCUCGUAUGACCAACCGCAAGCUUACGAUGGACCGGGGAGAGUCGGAUACUUUGAGAGUAGUGUCUUAAGGGGGUGGUAUGUCCCAUCCAAGGCUAAAUAACGUGAGGAGACCGAUAGAUUACAAGUAGUGUGAACGAAAGAUGAAAAGAACUCUAAAACAGAGGGUGAAAAGUUCCUGAACUUGCUUAGGGUUAAGGCUAUUUAUAGUACCCGUCUUGAAACACGGAUUAGGGAGUUUAUCUGUAGUGCGAGUCUUUGCACGUUAACUGUAAAGGCGUAGAGAAAGCAACUGGCGUUUGCAUGGCUACUGAGCAUUACUGAUAGGACCCGAAAGGUGGUGAACUUUGCCUGCACAGGUUGAAGUCAGGGGAAACUCUGAUGGAGGACCGUACGGGUUAUUGAUGUGCAAAUCAUUUUUCUGAUGUAGGUAAAGGUGCGAAAGACUCAUCGAACCACCUAAUAGCUGGUUUCCUCCGAAGUUUCCCUCAGGAUAGCUGUAAUGCAUUUAGUUAAGGGGAGUAGAGAUAUGGGUAGAGGUGCAGGGAGCCUUCGGGUUCUCAACUUAUUUCCAAACUUCGAACCUCCUUGUUAGGCAUUUACCUAACUGGAAAUGCUUAAAUGAAUUAGCGUUACA
This 834-nucleotide non-coding RNA is filed under the name Trichomonas vaginalis G3. Its description in RNAcentral is "Eukaryotic large subunit ribosomal RNA". It matches the Rfam family "Eukaryotic large subunit ribosomal RNA", at positions 1 to 1124 of the family's 3401-position model. Lineage: Eukaryota; Parabasalia; Trichomonadida; Trichomonadidae. The record is from Rfam by way of RNAcentral.